AACGAACGCUGGCGGCAGGCCUAACACAUGCAAGUCGAGCGAGGACUUCGGUUCUAGCGGCGGACAGGUGAGUAACGCGUGGGAAUGUGCCCUUCUCUACGGAAUAGCCCUGGGAAACUGGGAGUAAUACCGUAUACGCCCUAUUGGGGAAAGAUUUAUCGGAGAAGGAUCAGCCCGCGUUGGAUUAGGUAGUUGGUGGGGUAAUGGCCUACCAAGCCGACGAUCCAUAGCUGGUGUGAGAGGAUGAUCAGCCACACUGGGACUGAGACACGGCCCAGACUCCUACGGGAGGCAGCAGUGGGGAAUCUUAGACAAUGGGGGCAACCCUGAUCUAGCCAUGCCGCGUGAGUGAUGAAGGCCUUAGGGUUGUAAAGCUCUUUCAGCUGGGAAGUUAAUGACGGUACCAGCAGAAGAAGCCCCGGCUAACUCCGUG
Molecule: ribosomal RNA, 433 nt
Filed under: uncultured bacterium
Lineage: Bacteria
Description: partial 16S ribosomal RNA
Rfam family: Bacterial small subunit ribosomal RNA
Source: RNAcentral